GGGCGUAAAGCGUGCGCAGGCGGCUGGCUAAGUCUGAUGUGAAAUCCCCGGGCUCAACCUGGGAAUUGCAUUCGAUACUGGUCAGCUAGAGUNUGGUAGAGGUAAGCGGAAUUCCGGGUGUAGCGGUGAAAUGCGUAGAUAUCCGGAGGAACAUCAGUGGCGAAGGCGGCUUACUGGACCACUACUGACGCUCAGGCACGAAAGCGUGGGUAGCAAACAGGAUUAGAUACCCUGGUAGUCCACGCCCUAAACUAUGUCCACUAGCCGU
RNAcentral lists this ribosomal RNA (268 nucleotides) under uncultured bacterium. RNAcentral's name for it is "partial 16S ribosomal RNA". It matches the Rfam family "Bacterial small subunit ribosomal RNA", at positions 556 to 823 of the family's 1533-position model. The record is from RNAcentral.